AUAUAUGCAUGAAUUUGAUGCAUACUUCCUUCUUUAAUCUACAAUAAUCUAGACACUGGUACUCUUUCUUGACCAGAAAAAGACUAGUGCUCUUUAUAGCCGAUAAAAUCUAAAGAAUAAAACAUUAUAUGUUUUGACUACUUUGGGACUACAUCUGCUACCAGAAAUCAUGUACAAAUAAAAUCGAACAUGCAUCCAAAAUACGAGCACGUGGACGUUAUUACUUAAUUAUAUGUGUGUGUGUGUAUUUGAAACCUAGUAUUAUUAAGAUGAGCCCCAUUCUUUUAAUUUCUAAUUAGAAAUUAAUUUCUAAUUAGAAAUUAAUUUCAGGACCCAUUCCAAUUAUGCUUACGGCAUUAUUUACAUAGUUUAUGGCUUUUUUUUUUUUUUUUUUUUUUUAAUGUUCAACACUUCUGUUGAACAUCUAGGAUACAAUCUGGAAACAAAGUUUGUUUACUUUUAUCUUCUUUCGUUUUUGUGCGUACAGCUAGCAGGCCAGCCAAAAUUUGCAUAUUCCCGUUCCAAACAUUUGAAUGCAACCUUUCCCCUCUGUUUGUGGACUAACUGUAGUGAUCCUGGAAGCAUGAAAUUAAUUUUUAACAGCCAAACUGAUUUGGUUUUGAGGCCAGGGCCUUUGGAAAUAUGAGCUAAUUUCUAUACACGAAUCUAAUCCAAUCUUCAAAAUCGAUUGAAAAGCCAAAAGAGUGCACACAUCAUUGGUAGGUACAGGACGAUCCCCCCCCGGGGCAAAACCAAACAUUCUAUUAAGAAACUACGUACACACACCACCACAUAUUAUUAAUUAGUAGUGGAUUUUUCUAAAGCGGGUACAUGGUACACCGUAUAUUGACAUGAACUCUUGCGAAAUAGUUGCAGGAUGUAAGUAGUCGGUAAAUCAGCAUAAUACAACCUGUAUAUUUGUAUUCUAUGGUGGGUUUGGGUAAACGUGGUUGCUCUUCUUGGUGUUUGAUGUUUCAGCUUUGCAAGCAGAAGUGGAAGGACAAACCUGGACUAUUUGAACAAGAAUCAUGCUCUUAACUAACCUUCUCCUUGAUGGAAUUACGCUCCCUGGUUUUGGAUUGAAUGUUUUUGGCUCAUCAACUGAAAUGUCGCUCUUCAUUUCCAUCUCCAUACUUUGUGUUAGAGAGCCUAUGAGUGUAUAUAGUGGUGCUGUUAUGCUUUCUUUUUCUUAACCUUUCGGUGAUUUAUAUAAGCGCAGAAGGUAGGUAAAGGGUUCGAUGAUGCAUGGUAGGGUACGUCAUGACUGGUGACGCAACCACCGAAGUUAAAGCGUGGUGGUCAAGUUCUUUCAGCAUGAAACUGGUUUAGACUACUGCCUUUUGUUGACAGAGCAGUGACGGAGUUACGAUUUUGGCCUAGAAGGGGCCCUAAAGUCUCAAUCUGAAUAGUUCUUCUAAUCUCACAUAAAAUACUUGGUUGUGUGGUGAGGAACUGACCACCCUUGAAAUUUAAGCUUGCUAUGGUUUUAUCAUCAUUAUUUUUCUUAAACCUAAACUCCAUGUUUUUCUAAAUUUCUUACGCUCUCCUUUCUCUUUAAAGCUCACAAGCAACAGAUUGUUUGAAUUAUUUAAGAGCCACCAAUCUCAAAUCAAAACCAAAUAAAGAAAUUAACUAAAAAUCUUAAAAAUCAUGAACAUAACACUAAAUAUUUUUGCAUGAAAAAAUGUCAUGAUUGGCCUGGGAUCAUUGUGGACCCCUCCGCCCAUGUGACAGGAUAUUGGCUGGUGUUCACAGCCCACCUACUAUUAUAAUACCCCCACAAUCUUUCUUUCGUAGAUUUCUUUCCAGUCAACGCACCAAGGCAUAUUCUUAGGCCGCAUUUUGUGCAGGGCGAGUAAACCUUAACCGACCAUGGCAAACAAAUAUGGACUAUGAUUAUCUCUCUUAUUCUUUUUAUCAUUUUUUAUUCUUUCAUCUCACAUUCUCUAUUUUGUCUCUCAUUUUAUAAAAAAUUAAUAUAAGAUGUUAACGUGACUUAACCGUGAUCGUUCAACUAAGAGGAGAAGGAAGGGAAGGGACAAAAAGAGAGGAGAGAAUCCUACUCCAACAAAUAUAUAUAGGCAACCAUUUUGUUCUCCAAAAAAUUUAAAAUUGGGUAAAGCCAUAAAACUCAAUUCAUAAAUCAAGAUCUUGAACUUCAUAAUUUCACAAAACCGAUUAAUGCGAAAUAUGUAAAUCACAUACAUUGAUAAUUAGUCGUCAAACAUCAUCUACAACCUUUAACUUGAGUGAUCCAUAUAUGAACCGUUGGUAUGGAGAAAAUUAGGUUUCUCUCUCUAGCCUUACUUUCACUAUAAAAUUCCAAUACUUGUUUUUUCAUUACCGUACACAUUAGAUAGGUAUGUGCAGCUUUAAAGAGAAAGAGGACUUAUUUCUAACAAAUCUCAUAAUUAAGAGGACUUAUUUCUAACAAAUCUCAUAAUUAAUUACCACUCAUCACGAUGAUAAAGUAGGAAAUCAAUAGUUUGACUAAAAAUGAUUGCUUCCAAAAUUUUGCGAAGGUGAAGCUUUGUUCCGAUUUGAGUACCGAUGUUUAAUUGAAGUACAUAUCCCCUUUUUUCUGUGUGCGUGUUGGAGGUUACCCCUGAUUUAUCAUUUACAGUCUGUAUUUCUUAUUUUGAGUUAAUUAACUUACAGGUACACUCUUGGUUGUCUCAUUACGUUGUGAUGAACCCUAUGAAGUGCCUGCUGCAAGGAGGUAAUGACUUUAUAACUCAUAUAAAUCACUAUCGAAAUAAAAUCAACAUUAUAAGAAUUCAGUGUACAAGGGUUUUUUUUCCUAGGACCCUAGACAUUUCAACAAAUAUGAAAUUUGUUUUCUCCUUUCUUUCUUUCUACAUUUUUUUUAACCUUGCACCUUUUAAAUUUCGCUCAUCCUCCGAUAAUUUCUAACAUCGUCACUGUGUGUAAGAAGUAACAAUAGGUGUGUGGAUAGCACUACCUAUUUUAAAAUGAGAGUUACGAUGGAUACACAGAAUAACGAAAGAAAAUUUCAGUGGUGACAGCAAGUAGGUUUUGGUAGUAAAGACCUUGUGACACCAAAUGGGGACUUUUCUCGUUGUGAUUUUUUAUUUAUUUUUUUAUCAAACAUUACUUCCAUAAAAAACUAGUACAAGAAAGAGAGACCAAAAGGCCUCCUAAAAACAACAGUAGGUAAGGUAAAAGGUCCAAACAAAAUGAGAGUUGCAAGCCUACAACACAAGAUACAACGGGAGGCCCACACAAAUUUAGGUAUGAAGGCUGAAAAAACAAACAACAAAAAAACCUAUUCUAAAGCAGUAGAAACCAAAUCGUCGUCGCCACCACAUCCUCAAAGAAAGCCAAACUCCAAAACAAAAAAGUAGACACUAGACUUAAAUUCCCUUUAUGAUCCCCUACAAAUAUAUACAAACAAAAUAUCAUAUGGAUAAAGUUGAGACUAAGAGGUAUGUGAAAUAUCCUUAUUGUGACGAAGACCACAGAACACAUGUCCUCAAUGAGAAUCCGGCAUGCCGGUUGAGAGAAGAGAAAUGGGGAAGGAAAAUGAAUCUGAUAUCCAAUUGACAUUAUUUUAGAAUAAAAAAUAAAAAUCGGCAGCACUUAUAAAAAUGCAACUUCAAGUCAAGUCAAAUCAAAUCCAAAGCUAAAUAUGACACUAAAUGCUAAAUAUUUCAUUGGGCUAUGUUUCUUGACCCUGUAAAAGUUCAUUAUGUUCACGUCGAGUCAAGAUAGACAAAAUUAAACUUCAUUUUGGUCCAUUAAAGUAAUUAAGUAAAGCACUCAUCUGAAAUUAGGUAGCGAUUUUGCUUUCACUGAUUAACCACUUUGUAGUUUGCAGGUUAAACUUAUGCCUUCUAUUUUCAGUUGUACAACUAUACUGGUGGUCUCCUGUUUGUUGAUUUUCUUCAACUUUUCGUAGAUGAAUUCCGACGCGGCUCUACAGAAAAGGAUACGGAGCACAAAGUAAGGGGAUUUUCACAUAUAAAUGGGGUCCUUGGGUAUUGAAAAUGACAGAAAUAUUAUGUGUGGGGGUUUGCAUAGUGAGGCUUAGAUGGAUUACAUUUUUCCUUUUUAAGAACCAAAUUGGAACUUGAAAUAUCUGGCUGGAGGUUUUGGGCCAUACAAGUCCAGAAUUGCAGAUGUGUUCAUUGAACUCAAUAGUAAUGCAGAGCUCUCAAUCUGUUUUAUUCAUUUUGUUGGUGCGCUAAAUUAACUCUAACCCUUUUGUAUUAUUACUUCCCAAUUCAUCGUUUCCCACCCCCCCCCCCCUCCCCCCAACAAAGGAAAAACAUUUGUUUUUGGGCCGGUCCAUAAAAUUAAAGGAAAAUUAAUGAAAAGGGCUUGAAAACUUUGAGUUUUAAUGAUAAGGACAAAAUAAAGGGUAAAGUGAAUAGUACCAUGAUUGAUUUUUUAGUGUAAAAAUGUGGUUUUUCGUUAAAGUGAACAGUACCGGGUGCUUUUCGUUAAAGUUCUCUAAAAUUAAAUAUCAAAAUACAAAAAACAACUUACAAUAUAUAUCGUCAUCGGGGUUUAUCUUGAUUUCUGUGGGGAAAAUGGGGGGUUAACUGUAAUAUCUCAGAUUAAUUAUGAAUUGUCUAUGAAUCUAAUUACCAAUCGUGGAAUUCAUAAAAUUUAUCCAGAGAGAGAGAGAGAGAAAUCCCAGCAUCUUCUAUGAAAUCCAUAAAAAUUAUACCAGCAUAACAAGGAUAUUAGCAGAAACACAAUGACUCUGUACUAAUUAAAAAAUAAAAAACAUAGUUCAUAUGCAAAUCUAUGGUGACCUAGGAUAAACAUGGUUGCUGAUGACCUUCUUGGUAUCUGAGUCUGAACCAGAGCAAAACCAUUUGACAAUUUGAUCAAGCAUCAUUCUUUUCACUAACCUCUUCUUCACAGGGAAAACACUUCCAGCUUUUGGCUUGAAAAUCCAUGGCUCAGCCUUGUUGUGGAGUUCCACCAUUUGUUCUUGUUGAGAUGGGUUCUUCAACUUCAACUUCAUCAUCUGCUCUUCCUCCACUGCUUCCGAAGCCUUCUUCUUCAUUGCCAUCUAUAACUUUCUCUUUCUUUUUUUUUUUUUAAAUGUGUGCUUGGAUGUGCUAUAUAUGAAGUUAUGAACUUCUGAACCUCCAUGAGAUGAGUUUAUAUAGAUGAGAAAACGCAGAAGCAGCCAAGAAUGGUUUUAAUGCCCGAGUAAUGAUAGGAAGACUAAAUUUAGAGACUAAAAUUACAAACUAAAUGAUGUGUUAUCAAUAGAAAUAAGCAUGUCUAUCAACGUUUAAGUAAUAAAUCAAUUAUUAACUUACAUAGUUUUUAGUUUUCAAAUUUUAGUCUCCAAAUUUAAUCUUUCUAGCAUUAUUUCUUAAUGCCCACGGCAGAUGGUGGCAGAAUAUUUUCAUGGACCAUUUGAGUCUGUGACCGUAGACUCAUGGCUAAGUACUGAUAAUUGACCUUGAUCGCUUCAAUUGUCCGAUCGACUUUUUUGUCUGUCAGGAUUGAGAAUAUUUGGUUAUAAAUGUUGGGAUUUGCCUGAAGUUCAGCCUUGUACUGGUGUUGUGGCGUGGAAGUCUUCAAAGUGAAGACGUGAUUCGACAUGAUUUGUCUGCCACUAGCAAAAUUGAAAGCAGGUCUUCACUUGGUCAUUUUUCAUGCAAUUGUGCUUUUUCUUCCAUGCAUUAAAUGGCAAAUGGAGAAAAUGAUUGCAAGCUAUAGGCUGCGUGGAGCAACGGAUUUAAAUAAGAAAACUAAUGAAAAGGGUUUGAAAAUUUUGAGUUUUAAUAAUAAGGACAAAAUAAAGGGUAAACAGAUUUAAAUAAGGAAAACUAAUGAAAAGGGCUUGAAAAUUUUGAGUUUUAAUGAUAAGGACAAAAUAAAGGGUAAAGUGAAUAGUACCAGGAUUGACUUUUUAGUGUAAAAAUGUGAUUUUUUAUUAAAAUGAACAGUACCAGGUGCUUUUCGUUAAAGUUCCCAUUUAAAUAUGGUACGUGAACUAAAGGCCAAUUUGGUCUUAGUUGUUGGCUUCAGUUUAAUGGGUUGCCGAUGAUGUAUGCCUAUAACUAGAAGUAAUAUUGGUGCAUUUGGUAUGGAUUCGGAGUUGAACACGGGUUGAGAGAAAAUCAAAGAGUAAGAGUGAAAGAUUUCUUGGGAGAGAGUAAGUUUUGGGGAAAUACUGUGAGAGGAUGUACAAGGAUUUUGAGAUUAGGUCAAUGGAACAUGAAAGGCAUAUGAUUAAUUGGGAAAUUGGAUUGGAUGCUCUAAAGAAAAAGAAGGAUUUUCACACUUCAAGUUCUCUCUGUUUGGAGAGCUUGCUAACAAUUUUUUUUUUUGAUUCUCGUUUUAUGUAAUUGAUUGAAAAGAGAGUGCAAAUGAAUAAAAUUAAAGUGUGAAAGCUACGAUUGUAAGAUAAUAAGAGUUUGUUUGGUACCAAUUACCUAAAAAUUAAUUGAAUUAGAUAACUCAUGAAAUUCCAUUUAUAUUGAAAAUAGAUGCCAAGGAUUACAUGAACCUUCUAAUUCUAUCAUUUUUUUUAAUUUUAAAUAUUAGAGAUAUUUUAACAUCACAUGUAAGUAAGGCUUCAAUAAAAACAGUAGCAUUUGGACCAGUGAAAUUACAUUAUUACCCAUCAUUUUUUUUUUAUGAUGGAUGACUAAGUUGUUUUUUCACCCUCUUUUAAUUGACAAAUAGGAUUUCAUUAAUUAAUAGAUUAAUAGAUAUUAAUAGAGAUAUGCAAAACCGACUAACAUAAAAGAUAGUCAUCUGUUUCUUUGCACUUCCAGCUUUACAAUAUACCAUGCAUAUGGGGGUGGUUUUCUGAACACUUUUUCUAGGGAAAAAAAAUCGAAAGUAUCUUAUUAUGGUUUAUGAAAAGGAAUAUGAGCAUUCAUGUCAUGGGCCACGGUCAAUUGACUCAUGGAAAGAACAGAGAAUGUAUCUUAUUAUGAUUUGUGAAAAGGAAUAUGAGCACUCGUGGGUCAUAUCAAUUGACUCGCUGAUUAUUUGAUUUGAAAGAGCAUAUUCAUAGCAUUGUUGUUACUAAGAAGAUGGAAACGCCUUAAAUAUAGCAGAAUGUUUCUUUAUUUUCUACUUUUCUAGCUUGACAUCUCUAACAGUUUUAUGGGUUAAAUUUCUGGCUUGUAUUGAACCCUUUUGAUUGUAAAAUGGUGCUCUUCCAAUUUUUUCGUAUUUUCUUCCACUCUUUAUAUAUAAAUGACCCAGUGAACAUUUGAACUUUAGAUGGAGAAGAACUUUGAUAUGCCACAGAGAUUUUACAUUGUUUUACAAAUCAAUCGCAUACUAUUAAGGGAUACAUCCAAUGACAUCCUCAUAAGUGAUUUGAUUGUGUUAUUGUAUGUUUUUUUGGAUUGAAAACUUGAAGUCCUUUUCAAGUUUAAAUUGUCAAAAAACAACAGAAAAGGCCAAAGACGGUUGAUGUCAGGUACGUGGUGGGAAGCAGCAUAUUCAUGGACCAUGUGACCUGGUCUCCAUGCCACUGUUUUCCUUAGAGUGACAUUUUGUAAACAUCCUCCAAUUUGGCACCAAAAUGUGUCACUUAUUUUGAAAAAUUUGGUCCUUUUACAACGUAAAAAUUAAUUCAGAAGAGUGAGUUUGGCAAUUUUUAUAUAGUUCCUUAUCAAAUUAGUUGAAGAAAAGAAGAUUGUGAGCGAUUAACGGAGUUUGGUAAUGUUACUUCCCUUUUUUAUAAUUGUUGAGUGAUCAUCACCUUAUUAAUUAGCAAACACAAUCCAGGAUUGGAAAAUUGAAGACAUAUGAUCUUGUUAGACAUUUUCUAAAAGCAUCAUUAUAUGCAAUUCCGUCAACAUCAUCGAGAUGCAUGCUUGGAGCUAGUUUCCAAUAGUUUGAUGCCAUCAGUUCUCAAAAAAAAAAAAAAAAAAAAAGUUUGAUGCCAUCUGGUUGAAUAGAAAAAGGCAUCAAAGUGUAAUUAUAUUUUCUUUAUCGUUUAUUCCUGUAUAUGAUCCAAAUCUUCAAACUAGCCAAUCUGCGUUUCCAUUAACUUCGGACAUAAUAAUCAUGCGAGCCUUAGAAAAAGGUCUCCUACUUACGUCCCCCUAGACCUUUGGGACACGCAAGCUAGUGAGUGCCAGAAAAGGGUAUCUCCUCAAACAUUUUUUUUCAACCUACCUAUUAUUUGAGAAAAAUCUGGUGUGUUAAAUUGUCAAUGUCAUAUGGUUUGUCUUAUCAAGAUGCUAUUUACAUACUUUUUUUUUCAAUUUUUAUACAUUUUUAUUAAAAUAAUGUUAAGAAGAUUAAAUUUGUAGACUAAGUUUUGUAAACUAAAUGAUAUGAAAGUUGAUGAUUAGAUUAUUACUUAAACGUUGAUAAACGUGCUCAUUUCUUAUUGGUGACAAAUAAUUUAAUUUGCAAUUUUAACUUAUAAAUUUAAUCUCCCUAGCAUUACUUUUUUUUUCUGUACUUUAAUCAUCUUCAAUUCAUUCGAUAUAACAGCUGAAAAUUAAGAGAGAUCUGUGGCCAGCAUCAUUUUAUCAUAAAUUGGUAUAAUUUUAAUAUUUUGUAGUGUAAAAUGAAAAGUUCAAACAUCAUUACCCCUUAAAAAAUACCCCAAAUUUCAAGAGUGUGAAAUACUGUUAACCUUGAAAUCAAUCAUUUUCUUUUCUUCUCGUGAAUCUCCUCUGUCCAUGACAUCUCUCCCAAUUUCAGUCAUGGAACUUGUGUUUGUUAUAUAAGGUGACGAUCACUCAUCAAUUUUGAUGUUAAAAAAUUAAUAUGAUUCUGACAGUGAGUAUAAUACAUAGGGUCCCGUUUAUAUCACAUAUCAAUUUUGAUGUUAAAAAAUUAAUAUGAUUCUAACAGUGAGUAUAAUACAUAGGGUCCAGUUUAUAUCACAUAUUCGUCACGUAUGAUAUUAUUGGGAUCCCUUGUUUGUGUAUGUGCACACUCCCCCAACUACGUUGUAUUAAAAAAAAAGAUCUUUGAUUUUCAUUUUGAAAGUAGUUGCAUGCAAAGCAUGAACAAUUUCAUGGAAUAUUUAAGAAGAAGAUUUCCAAACCAACACCCCACCCCCACAAAAACAUUCUAUUAUGAAACUACGUACACACACAUCACCACACAAAGCAUAAUACAACCUGUAUAUUUGUAUUCUAUGGUGGGUUUGGGUAUACGUGGUUGCUCUUCUUGAUGUUUGUUGUUUCAGCUUUGCAAGCAGAAGUGGAAGGACAAACCUGGACUAUUUGAUCAAGAAUCAUGCUCUUAACUAACCUUCUCCUUGAUGGAAUUACGCUUCCUGGUUUUGGUUUGAACGUUUUUGGCUCCUCAUCUGAAAUGUUGCUCUUCAUUUCCAUCUCCAUACUUUGUGUUAUAGAGCCUAUGAGAGUGUGUAUAUAGUGGUGCUGUUAUGCUUUCUUUUUCUUAACCUUUCUGGAGUUUAUAUGAGUGGAAAGAGAUCCUCUCUGGAUCUUUUCCUCCAAAACCCAAGGAUCAAGUGAUC
This 9457-nucleotide long non-coding RNA is filed under the name Malus domestica (apple). Its description in RNAcentral is "long non-coding RNA (MDOM_LNC005022)". Lineage: Eukaryota; Viridiplantae; Streptophyta; Magnoliopsida; Rosales; Rosaceae. The record is from RNAcentral.